CCCAAAACAACCAGGAGGUUGGCUUAGAAGCAGCCAUCCUUUAAAGAAAGCGUAACAGCUCACUGGUCUAGUCAAGGGUCCUUGCGCCGACAAUGUAACGGGGCUCAAGCCACGAGCCGAAGCUUGGGGUUCAUCUUCGGAUGAGCGGUAGCGGAGCGUUCCGUAGGCCUGUGAAGGGAGACCCGUGAGGGCUCCUGGAGGUAUCGGAAGUGCGAAUGCUGACAUGAGUAACGACAAACAGCGUGAGAUUCGCUGUCGCCGAAAGUCCAAGGGUUCCUGCGUAAAGUCAAUCUGCGCAGGGUCAGCCGGCCCCUAAGGCGAGGCCGAAAGGCGUAGUCGAUGGGAAUGCGGUGAAUAGUCCGCAGCCAGCGGGUGGUGACGGAUCUGAACCGUCGUGUCUCCUUAUCGGAUUGGAGGCGCGGCCGGAUGGUUCCAGGAAACAGCCCCCGCGAGAGACCGUACCCGAAACCGACACAGGUGGACUGGCAGAGCAUGCCUAGGCGCUUGAGAGAACGAUGCUGAAGGAACUCGGCAAAUUACCUCCGUAACUUCGGGAUAAGGAGGCCUUUCGAUCGGGCAACCGGUCGGGAGGGGCACAGACCAGGGGGUGGCGACUGUUUAGCAAAAACACAGGGCUCUGCGAAGUCUUCAAGACGACGUAUAGGGUCUGACGCCUGCCCGGUGCCGGAAGGUUAAGAGGAGAGGUUCACGCCUUGAAUCGAAGCCCCGGUAAACGGCGGCCGUAACUAUAACGGUCCUAAGGUAGCGAAAUUCCUUGUCGGGUAAGUUCCGACCUGCACGAAUGGCGUAACGACUUCCCCGCUGUCUCCAGCAUCGGCUCAGUGAAAUUGAAUUCCCCGUGAAGAUGCGGGGUUCCUGCGGUCAGACGGAAAGACCCCGUGCACCUUUACUGUAGCUUUGCGCUGGCAUUCGUGUCGGCAUGUGUAGGAUAGGUGGAAGGCUUUGAAGCGCGGGCGCCAGCUCGUGUGGAGCCACCCUUGAAAUACCACCCUUGGCGACAUGGAUGUCUAACCGCGGUCCGUCAUCCGGGCCCGGGACAGCGCAUGGCGGGCAGUUUGACUGGGGCGGUCGCCUCCCAAAGAGUAACGGAGGCGCGCGAAGGUGGGCUCAGACCGGUCGGAAAUCGGUCGUCGAGUGCAAUGGCAUAAGCCCGCCUGACUGCGAGACGGACAUGUCGAGCAGAGACGAAAGUCGGCCAUAGUGAUCCGGUGGUCCCGCGUGGGUGGGCCAUCGCUCAAC
RNAcentral lists this ribosomal RNA (1260 nucleotides) under hypolithon metagenome. Its description in RNAcentral is "bacterial LSU rRNA". It matches the Rfam family "Bacterial large subunit ribosomal RNA", at positions 1083 to 2453 of the family's 2925-position model. The record is from RNAcentral.